Molecule: ribosomal RNA, 326 nt
Filed under: uncultured eukaryote
Lineage: Eukaryota
Description: partial 18S ribosomal RNA
Rfam family: Eukaryotic small subunit ribosomal RNA
Source: RNAcentral
CCCUUAGAUGUUCUGGGCCGCACGCGCGCUACACUGAAUGGAUCAACGUGUUUUCCCUUCCCGAGAGGGACGGGUAACCCGCUGAACCCCAUUCGUGGUAGGGAUCGGAGCUUGCAAUUAUUCCCCGUGAACCAGGAAUGCCCAGUAAGUGCAAGUCAUAAGCUUGCGUUGAUUACGUCCCUGCCCUUUGUACACACCGCCCGUCGCUACUACCGAUUGAACGUUUUAGUGAGGUACUCGGACUGAGCCUCAGAAGAUUCACGUCUUUUGUGCUGCUCGGGAAGAUUCCCAAACUUGAGCGUUUAGAGGAAGUAAAAGUCGUAACA